This is a small nuclear RNA of Pongo abelii (Sumatran orangutan), 162 nucleotides long. Its record names the gene U1. It matches the Rfam family "U1 spliceosomal RNA". From Rfam's summary of the family: U1 is a small nuclear RNA (snRNA) component of the spliceosome (involved in pre-mRNA splicing). Its 5' end forms complementary base pairs with the 5' splice junction, thus defining the 5' donor site of an intron. The record is from Ensembl. NCBI's taxonomy places the organism in Eukaryota, Metazoa, Chordata, Mammalia, Primates, Hominidae.
AUACUUACCUGGCAGGGGAAGAUACGAUGAUCGAAGGUGGUUUUCCCAGGGCGAGGCUUAUCCAUUGCACUCUGGAUGUGCUGACCCUGCGAUUUCCCCAAAUGUGGGAAACUCGACUGCAUAAUUUGUGGUAGUGGGGGACUGCGUUCGCGCUUUCCUCCG